This is a non-coding RNA of Plectropomus leopardus (leopard coralgrouper), 1827 nucleotides long. The record is from RefSeq and is a predicted model, not a curated record. Lineage: Eukaryota; Metazoa; Chordata; Actinopteri; Perciformes; Serranidae.
AGUAAACGAAACAACCGCGAAACGUGGGACAACUGAGACUGUUAAAACGUGUUCACUGCGUCAUCUCUCCACCACGCUGAGGGAAAGACUGAACAGCGGGGCAGCAGGGGAGAUAUGCCGUGUUGAGUUCCUGGUGUGUGUCCUUGUGUGCUGGUUACACGCAGGAGUGAAAGGAAGAGCCACUACUGUUGUCUAUGUUCUGGAGUAACCUGUUAAUUGUUUUGUUGUCAGUGAACCUGGUCUUUUAGAGAGAGUAACCAGAGAUUGUACCUUAAAGGUGCAGGUGUAGUAAUGGGUGUUUUUCUGGCAUCAAUGCUGUCAGAGUACAAGAGUUAACAGUUGGAGUACCAGUUUUGUGUACAGAAAAACACGGUAGCCAUCCUUUACAAUUUCCACUGUUAUUAUCUACAAUCCUCAAUAUACAGUAUUAACGCUGUUCUUAUAUUUUUAUGAGUUCAGUCGGGAAAUAAAGACCCACAUAAAAUUUUAUUCUGUGUUCGGUCCCAUCAUUCAUUGACCGGGCCACAUAUAUACUAUUUUUAUAGCACUUUUUGACAGGGUAAAUUUCUUUUGUACCAACUGUGUAAUUAGUCAGAAAACUGAAACAGUGCAUGAGGGUUAAAUAAAUAAAUCAUAUUUUACAGGCCAGAUGGUAACCAUGAAUUUCCAAUAUUUGGUCAGUUUACCCCAAAACAAACAUAUUAACACGGAAUAUUCAAUCAGAAAUUUUGGAGAUGAGAGUUUAAACAAGAAGCUCGAUGCUGUGUUGAUUGACAUUGGGGGAGACCAUUAACGUUUUACAUCCAUGGGGACUGCAAACAUUGAAAACCAGCUUACAGUGUUAAUUUUUUUUAAAAAAGCUACUUCUUGCGUGGCAAGAGACCAUUAUAUGAGUGACUGUCUAUAGUCAGUUUAUUCCCCCAGUGCAUGAUGGUUACUGCCUUCAGUUUACAGAAGCUGCAGAGAAUUACACAAACUACUCAACUGAAACAACGGUAGCCGAGCUUUUCCUGGGUUCUGCAGGGGGAAAUGGAAGCCUGCAAGCAGACUGUCUUUGCCUCCUUCAGGAAUUUGUUGUUGUUCAUGUUAUGUGAGGUUAUUUAGGUAUAGUUGCUAUUUUAAGAGGUCCCCUUCACUUCAAAUCUUGGAGCUGGAAGCUCUUCAGUUUCAUUAAGGGGGAUAUAUUAUGGACAUUUUCAGUGUCUUGAAUAUUGAUCUCAAACUCCAGCAGCAGCUUUGUACCAUUCACUAUCCAAAGAACUCUCCAGAUCUUCAGAAAACUGUAUCUGCAAUCCUCUAUCAGAGCCCUGUGCUGCUAUGUGCCCGCUGAUUGGUCGGUUUGCCGAAGCAACCCAGGAGGAAGCGGGAAAAGGCGAGCACUCCCUCCCCCGCUUCUAUCGAUGCAGAAGUUCUGUUUGCAAACAGUAAACAGACAAACUAAUGAAGUUUGCUGUUCAUGCAGGAGUGCACUGAAUGCCUGCUCAAGCAGACUGAUUUGUAUAAUGUGUAAGCUACAUUUACAGAGAAAAGUGUCAUUAUACACACUCCUGGUUUGGAAUAUUAAUAUUAUAGGACAGAUAGUGUGUGUUAUAUAAUAUUAAUAUUAUAUAUACAGCAGUAGAUUACUUUUUACUUGGAAAUGCACACAGAGCAGACUGUGGACGUGUGAGAAGGACACAGGAAAAGGACUUUUUUCUUCCUGUCAUAAAAGUUGUGUGUUACUACAUGGAAUAAUUUUAUUUUACCUCCAUCUGUACAAACACAUGAUCCCUAAUGUCAAGUCAAGAAAAUCACCUCAAUCAGGAAAAUAAAGACUUUUAUUGACAA